RNAcentral lists this transfer RNA (73 nucleotides) under Marine Group II euryarchaeote MED-G33. Its description in RNAcentral is "tRNA-Met". It matches the Rfam family "tRNA". From Rfam's summary of the family: Transfer RNA (tRNA) molecules are approximately 80 nucleotides in length. Their secondary structure includes four short double-helical elements and three loops (D, anti-codon, and T loops). RNAcentral also lists the same sequence under 1 other name. The record is from RNAcentral. Lineage: Archaea; Methanobacteriati; Thermoplasmatota; Candidatus Poseidoniia; Candidatus Poseidoniales.
GCCGGGGUGGCGUAGUUGGUGGCGCGUCGGACUCAUAAUCCGAAGGUCACGGGUUCGAGCCCCGUUCCCGGCA